RNAcentral lists this ribosomal RNA (460 nucleotides) under uncultured bacterium. RNAcentral's name for it is "partial 16S ribosomal RNA". It matches the Rfam family "Bacterial small subunit ribosomal RNA", at positions 338 to 795 of the family's 1533-position model. The record is from RNAcentral.
CCUACGGGUGGCAGCAGUGAGGAAUAUUUGUCAAUGGACGCAAGUCUGAACCCGCCAUGUCGCGUGCAGGAAGACUGCUCUAUGGGUUGUAAACUUCUUUUGUACGAGGGUAAAUCCCGAUACGUGUAUCUGUUUGUAUGUAUCUUAUGAAUAAGGAUCGGCUAACUCCGUGCCAGCAGCCGAGGUAAUACGGAGGAUUCAAGCGUUAUCCGGAUUUAUUGGGUUUAAAGGGUGCGUAGGCGGGUUGAUAAGUUAGAGGUGAAAUUUCGCGGCUCAACUCUGACAUUGCAUCUGAUACUGGCGGGCUAGAGUAUAGUUGCGGUAGGCGGAAUGUAUGGUGUAGCGGUGAAAUGCAUAGAGAUCACACAGAACACCGAUUGCGAAGGCAGCUUACCAAACUACGACUGACGUUGAGGCACGAAAGCGUGGGGAGCAAACAGGAUUAGAUACCCUGGUAGUC